UAGCUUGCCAUGUUUGUCAGCUAAGUGGCGCACAGGUGAGUAAUGUAUAGCUAAUGUGCCCCAUAGAGGGGGAUAACAGUUGGAAACGGCUGCUAAUACCCCAUACUCCUUCUAUCUUAAUGGUAGUUGGGAAAGUUUUUUCGCUAUGGGAUCGGGCUAUAUGGUAUCAGUUAGUUGGUGGGGUAAUGGCCUACCAAGGCAACGAUCUGUAGCUGGUCUGAGAGGACGAACAGCCACACUGGGACUGAGACACGGCCCAGACUCCUACAGGAGGCAGCAGUGGGGAAUAUUGGACAAUGGGCGAAAGCCUGAUCCAGCAAUGCCGCGUGUGUGAAGAAGGCCUGCGGGUUGUAAAGCACUUUCAGUUGGGAAGAUGAUGACGUUACCAACAGAAGAAGCACCGGCUAAAUCCGUGCCAGCAGCCGCGGUAAUACGGAUGGUGCGAGCGUUAAUCGGAAUUACUGGGCGUAAAGCGCGCGUAGGCGGCUAAGUCAGUCAGAAGUGAAAGCCCCGGGCUCAACCUGGGAAUUGCUUUUGAUACUGCUUAGCUAGAGUUUGGUAGAGGAUAGUGGAAUUCCAGGUGUAGCGGUGAAAUGCGUAGAUAUCUGGAGGAACAUCAGUGGCGAAGGCGACUGUCUGGACCAAAACUGACGCUGAGGUGCGAAAGCGUGGGUAGCAAACAGGAUUAGAUACCCUGGUAG
RNAcentral lists this ribosomal RNA (701 nucleotides) under uncultured Pseudomonadota bacterium. RNAcentral's name for it is "bacterial SSU rRNA". It matches the Rfam family "Bacterial small subunit ribosomal RNA", at positions 68 to 793 of the family's 1533-position model. Lineage: Bacteria; Pseudomonadati; Pseudomonadota. The record is from RNAcentral.